GAUGAACGCUGGCGGCGUGCCUAAUACAUGCCAGUCGAGCGAACGGACGAGAAGCUUGCUUCUCUGAUGUUAGCGGCGGACGGGUGAGUAACACGUGGAUAACCUACCUAUAAGACUGGGAUAACUUCGGGAAACCGCAGCUAAUACCGGAUAAUAUUUUGAACCGCAUGGUUCAAAAGUGAAAGACGGUCUUGCUGUCACUUAUAGAUGGAUCCGCGCUGCAUUAGCUAGUUGGUAAGGUAACGGCUUACCAAGGCAACGAUGCAUAGCCGACCUGAGAGGGUGAUCGGCCACACUGGAACUGAGACACGGUCCAGACUCCUACGGGAGGCAGCAGUAGGGAAUCUUCCGCAAUGGGCGAAAGCCUGACGGAGCAACGCCGCGUGAGUGAUGAAGGUCUUCGGAUCGUAAAACUCUGUUAUUAGGGAAGAACAUAUGUGUAAGUAACUGUGCACAUCUUGACGGUACCUAAUCAGAAAGCCACGGCUAACUACGUG
RNAcentral lists this ribosomal RNA (497 nucleotides) under uncultured bacterium. RNAcentral's name for it is "partial 16S ribosomal RNA". It matches the Rfam family "Bacterial small subunit ribosomal RNA", at positions 28 to 507 of the family's 1533-position model. The record is from RNAcentral.